RNAcentral lists this non-coding RNA (854 nucleotides) under Orinhippus tibetanus. Its description in RNAcentral is "12S ribosomal RNA". The stretch from base 412 to 842 matches the Rfam family "Microsporidia small subunit ribosomal RNA", at positions 752 to 1303 of the family's 1311-position model. Lineage: Eukaryota; Metazoa; Arthropoda; Insecta; Orthoptera; Acrididae. The record is from RNAcentral.
AAUGUUUUUAUUGUCUAAUAUUUUAAGUAUUUUAUUUUUACUGUUUAUGUUUCAUUUGUAAUUUUAAAGUUUUAUUCUUGCUUAGAAGUUCAUUAUUUCUUUAUAUUAUAUACGAGUUUUGUUAAACUAAAUGUUCUUGUUUUGUAGUGAUUAAAUUUAAUUAUCAAUUUAUUUUGGAAUUAGUAAUUGAUUAAGUAUUGGCAAAUUUCGUGCCAGCAGCCGCGGUUAUACGAUUAAUGCAAGUGAAUAUUUUUGGUUAAUAUAGUUUAUAGUAAAUAUUUGAGUUUUAUUAAAAUUUUAUUAGGUGAAAUUUUAUUUUUUUAUACAACUCAUUAUUAUUAAUCUAUGAAACUUAAGUAAUAAACUAGGAUUAGAUACCCUAUUAUUUUAAGUGUUAAUUUUGUUUUACCUGGGUAGUAUUAGUUAAGGUCUUUAAACCCAAAGAAUUUGGCGGUAUUUCAUUCCAUUCAGAGGAACCUAUCUCGUAAUUGAUAGUACACGAUUGACUUUACUUGAUUUAUUUGUUUGUAUAUCUCCGUUAUCGGAAAAUCUUUUUGGAGCUAUAAUUUUCCUGUUUUUCCAUUAAAAAUUAUUUCAGGUCAAGGUGCAGCUUAUAAUCAAGUGUGUGAUGGGUUACAAUAGAUUUUUUUUAUUAUGGAUUUAAUUUUGAAAUGUUUUAAUGAAGGUGGAUUUGAUAGUAAUUUAAUUUAUUUAAUUUAAUUGAUAUUGGCUCUGAGGUGUGUACACAUCGCCCGUCGCUCUCAUUAUUGAUAUUACUUAAUUUAUUUUCAAUUAAUAUGAGAUAAGUCGUAACAUAGUAGAUGUACUGGAAAGUGUAUCUAGUAAGUUUAAAU